RNAcentral lists this ribosomal RNA (497 nucleotides) under uncultured bacterium. Its description in RNAcentral is "partial 16S ribosomal RNA". It matches the Rfam family "Bacterial small subunit ribosomal RNA", at positions 28 to 507 of the family's 1533-position model. The record is from RNAcentral.
GAUGAACGCUGGCGGCGUGCCUAAUACAUGCAAGUCGAGCGAACGGACGAGAAGCUUGCUUCUCUGAUGUUAGCGGCGGACGGGUGAGUAACCCGUGGAUAAACUCCCUAUAAGACUGGGAUAACUUCGGGAAACCGGAGCUAAUACCGGAUAAUAUUUUGAACAGCAUGGUUCAAAAGUAAAAGACGGUCUUGCUGUCUCUUAUAGAUGGAUCCGCGCUGCAUUAGCUAGUUGGUAAGGUAACGGCUUACCAAGGCAACGAUGCAUAGCCGACCGGAGAGGGAGAUCGGCCACACGGGAAGUGAGGCACGGUCCAGACUCCGACGGUAGGCAGCAGUAGGGAAUCUUCCGCGAUGGGCGAAAGCCUGACGGAGCAACGCCGCGGGAGUGAUGAAGGUCUUCGGAUCGGAAAACUCUGUUAUUAGGGAAGAACAUAUGUGUAAGUAACUGUGCACAUCGUGACGGUACCUAAUCAGAAAGCCACGGCUAACUACGUG